RNAcentral lists this ribosomal RNA (1226 nucleotides) under Campylobacterales bacterium. Its description in RNAcentral is "partial 23S ribosomal RNA". It matches the Rfam family "Bacterial large subunit ribosomal RNA", at positions 1 to 1400 of the family's 2925-position model. The record is from RNAcentral. Lineage: Bacteria; Pseudomonadati; Campylobacterota; Epsilonproteobacteria; Campylobacterales.
AAUCAAGCGCGAGAAGGGCGUUUGGUGGAUGCCUAGGCAGUAAGAGGCGAUGAAGGACGUGAUACUCUGCGAUAAGUCAUGGGGAGCUGAGAAUAAGCUUUGAUCCAUGAAUUUCCGAAUGGGGAAACCCACCUGACAGUCUGAUAUAAUUGCUUUUGCACUUUAUAUCAUUCUGAACCAGGUACUUUUACCCUGAAUACAUAGGGGUUUAAGAGCGAACCCGGGGAACUGAAACAUCUAAGUACCCGGAGGAAAGGACAUCAAUAGAUACUCCGCUAGUAGUGGCGAGCGAACGCGGACCAGCCGAGCCUUGAGAACGACUAGAAUGAUCUGGAAAGAUCAGCCAAAGUGGGUGACAGCCCCGUAUAGGAAGUUUGAUGGGACGUAUUAAGUAGGGCGGGACACGUGAAAUCCUGUCUGAAGAUCGGGGGACCACCCUCGAAGGCUAAGUACUCCUUACUGACCGAUAGUGAACCAGUACCGUGAGGGAAAGGUGAAAAGCACCCCGACGAGGGGAGUGAAACAGUUUCUGAAACCGGACGCCUACAAGACACCCGUUGAAAAGGGUCCGGAUGACGUGUGGCUAGGGGUGAAAGGCCAAUCAAAUCUGGAGAUAGCUGGUUCUCCGCGAAAGCUAUUUAGGUAGCGCGUCGAUUGUAUUCUCCCGGGGGUAGAGCACUGCAUGGAUGAUGGGGGCCCACAGCCUUACUGAGUCUAAGCAAACUCCGAAUACCGGGAAGAACUGAUCGGCAGACACACGGCGGGUGCUAACGUCCGUCGUGGAGAGGGAAACAACCCUGACCAACAGCUAAGGCCCCCAAUUCGUGGCUAAGUGGGAAAGCAUGUGGGACUUCCAAAACAACCAGGAGGUUGGCUUAGAAGCAGCCAUCCUUUAAAGAUAGCGUAACAGCUCACUGGUCUAGUCAAGAGGUCCUGCGGCGAAGAUGUAACGGGGCUCAAGCCACGAGCCGAAGCUUUGGAUGCACAGUGAUGUGCGUGGUAGCGGAGCGUUCUGUGAUAUAGAACGCUGCCUCCUUACGCUCUUCGGAGCUAUUGGAGGCAAUGUUCUGACUGUGAAGCCGGGCUGUAAGGCAUCCGGUGGAGUGAUCAGAAGUGAGAAUGUUGACAUGAGUAGCGACAAACAGGGUGAGAGACCCUGUCGCCGAAAGUCCAAGGGUUCCUGCUUAAAGCUAAUCUGAGCAGGGUAAGCCGACCCCUAAGGCGAG